Molecule: ribosomal RNA, 473 nt
Filed under: uncultured Sphingobacteriales bacterium
Lineage: Bacteria; Pseudomonadati; Bacteroidota; Sphingobacteriia; Sphingobacteriales
Description: bacterial SSU rRNA
Rfam family: Bacterial small subunit ribosomal RNA
Source: RNAcentral
GGAAUUGACGGGGCCGUACAAGCGGAGGAACAUGUGGUUUAAUUCGAUGAUACGCGAGGAACCUUACCUGGGCUUAAAUGUAGAGUGCAUGGGGUAGAAAUAUCCCUUUCCUUCGGGACUCUUUGCAAGGUGCUGCAUGGUUGUCGUCAGCUCGUGCCGUGAGGUGUCGGGUUAAGUCCCAUAACGAGCGCAACCCUUAUCGUUAGUUGCCAGCGGGUCAUGCCGGGAACUCUAACGAAACUGCCGGUGUAAACCGAGAGGAAGGUGGGGAUGACGUCAAAUCAGCACGGCCCUUAUGUCCAGGGCUACACACGUGUUACAAUGGCCGGUACAGAGGGCAGCUACCUGGAGACAGGAUGCGAAUCUCGAAAGCCGGUCUCAGUUCGGAUUGCAGGCUGCAAUUCGCCUGCAUGAAGUCGGAAUCGCUAGUAAUCGCAGGUCAGCAUACUGCGGUGAAUACGUUCCCGGGCCUU